GUCCAGCGGAAGCGUGGCGCCGGCCCGGUGACAACAGCUCCGGAUCAUUCCCGCCGGGAGCUUCCCGGUCUGAGCGGCGGGAGGAUUUAACGGAACUAACGGACCGACGGGACUGACAGAGGUGAUGCUCUCGCGGCUGAGUGGCGACAGGGGGCGGGGCCUGGCCACAGUGACUCCGCCUCCUGUCCUCCCAUUGGCCGAUGAAGGAGACGACACACAGAUUGGAGUUUUCUUUCCUCCUGCACCUCCUUGGAGCUCCUCCUCGUCUUCCCCUUCCUCUCCUCCGCCUCACUUGGCCUCCUCUUCCUCCUCCUCUGCUGCUUCUGUUACUCCUCCUUCUCCUUCUGUCUCUACUCCUUUUUCUCCUCUUGUUCCUCCUCAUGUAUCUUCUCCUCAUCCCCCUGUAGCUUCUUUUCUUUCUUCCUAUCCUCCUCCUCGUGUCUCUCCUCCUCGUGUCUCUCCUCCUCGUGUCUCUCCUCCUUGUGUUUCUCCUCCUCCUCGUG
Molecule: long non-coding RNA, 503 nt
Organism: Scomber japonicus (chub mackerel)
Lineage: Eukaryota; Metazoa; Chordata; Actinopteri; Scombriformes; Scombridae
Exons: 3
Source: RefSeq, a predicted model, not a curated record